RNAcentral lists this ribosomal RNA (403 nucleotides) under uncultured bacterium. Its description in RNAcentral is "bacterial SSU rRNA". It matches the Rfam family "Bacterial small subunit ribosomal RNA", at positions 355 to 775 of the family's 1533-position model. The record is from RNAcentral.
UGGGGAAUAUUGGACAAUGGGCGCAAGCCUGAUCCAGCCAUGCCGCGUGAGUGAUGAAGGUCUUAGGAUUGUAAAGCUCUUUCACCGGAGAAGAUAAUGACGGUAUCCGGAGAAGAAGCCCCGGCUAACUUCGUGCCAGCAGCCGCGGUAAUACGAAGGGGGCUAGCGUUGUUCGGAAUUACUGGGCGUAAAGCGCACGUAGGCGGAUAUUUAAGUCAGGGGUGAAAUCCCAGAGCUCAACUCUGGAACUGCCUUUGAUACUGGGUAUCUAGAGUAUGGAAGAGGUGAGUGGAAUUCCGAGUGUAGAGGUGAAAUUCGUAGAUAUUCGGAGGAACACCAGUGGCGAAGGCGGCUCACUGGUCCAUUACUGACGCUGAGGUGCGAAAGCGUGGGGAGCAAACAG